CUCAGGCGGUGAGGUAGUAUUAUUUAACCUAAAGAAUUUGGCGGUUUCUAAACUUACUAGAGGAACCUGCCCCAUAAACGACAAUCCACGAGACAAUCGACCCGUUCUUGUAAAACAGCUUAUAUACCGUCGUUUAGGGGAUUAAAUAAAUAACUGCUCUUAAUUGCUUAGGCUAAUAAAUCAGAUCAAGGUGUAGCUUAUGUCCGGGAGAGGGUGGGUUACAAUAAGACCUUAAACGGAAUUUUCAUUUUAUCAUGGAGAAGAAGGUGGAUUUAGAAGUAAGGCCUAUCAACCUGAAGGAGGCUCUGAGAAAUGUACACAUCGCCCGUCGCUCUCUUGUCCGAAGAGAUAAGUCGUAACAAAGUAGGUAUACCGGAAGGUGUAUCUUGAGAGA
RNAcentral lists this ribosomal RNA (394 nucleotides) under Artemia franciscana. RNAcentral describes it as "partial 12S ribosomal RNA". It matches the Rfam family "Microsporidia small subunit ribosomal RNA", at positions 740 to 1305 of the family's 1311-position model. The record is from RNAcentral. Lineage: Eukaryota; Metazoa; Arthropoda; Branchiopoda; Anostraca; Artemiidae.